RNAcentral lists this unclassified non-coding RNA (320 nucleotides) under fungal sp. RNAcentral describes it as "partial internal transcribed spacer region". The stretch from base 1 to 46 matches the Rfam family "Eukaryotic small subunit ribosomal RNA", at positions 1786 to 1831 of the family's 1831-position model. Lineage: Eukaryota; Fungi. The record is from RNAcentral.
AAGUCGUAACAAGGUUUCCGUAGGUGAACCUGCGGAAGGAUCAUUACCAAAUCCAAAUACCCAAACCCCGUGUGAACUAUUGUAUAGUCUGUCUUUGGGAGGAAAAGAAAAAUAAAAACAAAAAGUCUUGACAAAUUCUUUUUGGAAAAGGCUUUUUUUUUGUUUUCCUUCUUUUCCUCCCGAUAGAGUCCGGCGCAAUCUUACGGUUGUGUCCAGAUUCGAUAACCCUUUUUUUAAACCACUUGAUUUUUCUGUUGGAAUUUUCUUUUAUUAAAUUUUAAAUAAAAGACAACUUUUAACGGUGGAUCUCUUGGCUCGUG